AUGGGACCUGCCGGUCUCCUCCUCCUCAUACUAGCAACUGCGGCACAAUUGCUCUCCGAGGCGCAGUUUGCCGAGUAUCCCACAGCCAACAUCUCAACACUGUGGGUCAACAACGAAGAUUACAUGUCAAACUUGGGCUUCAAUGAUGGAUCGGUGGUCCGCUCCAUUGUUGUCAGCUCACCACAAACCUUCUUCGGACCCUCCUUUGGCGCAGGUUUCUUCUGUGCCUCCCCCUGCAACGCGUUCCUCUUUGCUGUCUACAUUUUCCACAUCGAUGGUAUUCAUGGUGAGAGUAAGACCGCAAGACCGCACGUGGUAUGGUCUGCCAACCGGGCUCGCCCUGUAAGGGAGGGUGCCACUGUUGAGCUUACCAUUGAUGGGAACUUGGUGCUCCGAGAUGCUGAUGCUAGCCUCGUCUGGUCUAGCGGCAGCUCGGGCCGGUCAGUAGCAGGCAUGGUGAUCACCAAGGACAGCAAUCUGGUGCUAUUUGAUCACAGUAAUGGAACUGUAUGGCAGUCUUUUGAUCAUCCUAGUGACGUGUUGCUCCCUGGGCAGUCACUACUGGAAGGUACGAGGUUUGUAGCCACAAAUUGGACAGAGAAUCAAUUCUACAUGACAGUUCUUCCCAGAGGAUUGUAUGGUUAUGUUGAAUCCACACCACCACAACUCUACUAUGCAUAUUCAGUAUGGGUGAGCGAGAAUGACACAGGAAAUGGUCCAACAAAGGUUAACUUUGUCAAUGGCAGCCUCAGCCUCCUUGUGCAGUCUAGGCAGCCAAGCAACCCACAUAUGUCUAAUAUCUCACUGCCAGCAGCUAAAUCCACCCAGUACAUGAGGCUUGAGUCUGAUGGGCACCUUAGGCUGUAUGAAUGGUCUCAGGCGGAAGCGACAUGCACUUUGUUGUCUGACGUAACCAAGAUAGAAAGAUUGCCUGAUGAUUGUGCAUUCCCAACAGUGUGCGGAGAGUAUGGCAUAUGCACAGCUGGGCAGUGCACGUGUCCAUUUGAGGACAACUCAAGUUCAACAAAUUACUUCAAGCUGGUGAACGGCCGCAAGGCAAAUCUUGGCUGCGCACCAUUGAAUCCAAUCUCUUGCCAAGAAAUGCAACACCACCAGCUCUUGACCCUUACCAAUGUUUCUUACUUUGAUGAAAGCCACACCAUUGAGAAUGCAACGAAUGGCGACAGUUGUAAGCAGGCUUGCUUGAAGAACUGCUCCUGCAGGGCCGUCAUCUUCAGAUAUGGCCUCAAUGAUUCCAAGGGCGAUUGUCUGUGGGUGACAAAGGUCUUCUCCUUGCAAUCAAUACAACCUGAAACGGCUUCUUUCAAUUCGUCUGCUUACCUCAAGGUGCAAUCUAGCCCCUCUUCUGCUGCAAACAAAAAGGUCAUUCUAGGCAUCACCCUUGCACUUGUUACUACUAUCAUAUUCAUUGCCAUUGUUAUCACUGUUUGUCUGCUAAGGAGGGGAAAGUAUGAAGACAAUGAUGAAGACCUCCAGUUUGAUCAAUUACCAGGGAUGCCAACAAGGUUUCCAUUUGACAAGCUGAGAGAAUGCACUGAAGGAUUCAAUAAAAAGCUUGGAGAAGGUGGAUUUGGGUCGGUUUUUGCAGGGAAAUUAGGUGAAGAGAGAGUUGCAGUCAAACGUCUGGAAGGUGCUAGACAAGGAAAGAAAGAGUUUUUGGCAGAGGUUGAAACCAUUGGAAGCAUAGAGCACAUCAAUCUUGUCAGGCUGAUUGGCUUUUGUACAGAGAAAUUCCAAAGGCUUCUUGUGUACGAAUAUAUGUCGGGAGGGUCACUUGAUAGAUGGAUCUAUUACCGCCACGAUAAUGCCCCACUAGAUUGGCACACAAGGUGUGGAAUCAUUCUGGAUAUUGCCAAAGGCCUAUGCUAUCUUCAUGAGGAGUGCAGGCGAAAGAUAGCUCAUUUGGACAUCAAACCACAAAAUAUUCUCUUAGAUGAGAACUUUAAUGCCAAAGUGGCCGAUUUCGGACUAUCUAAGCUAAUAGACAGGGAUCAAAGCAAGGUAAUGACGAUGAUGAGAGGCACGCCUGGGUAUAUGGCACCUGAAUGGUUAACCUCACAAAUCACUGAAAAGGUUGAUGUCUACAGCUUUGGAGUAGUUGUCAUGGAGCUAAUAAGUGGGAGAAAAAAUAUUGAUAAUUCUUUGCCUGAGGAGAGUUCUCACCUCAUCAAUUUGUUACGAGGAAAGGCUCGAGAUAAUCAAAUGAGUGAUCUGAUUGACGAACAUAGUGAAGACAUGCUCUCGCACCAGGAGCAGGUCAUUCAAAUGAUGAAGCUUGCAAUGUGGUGCCUGCUAAAUGAUGCCGGUCAAAGGCCUAACAUGUCAAUGGUGGUAAAGGUAUUAGAAGGUGGGAUGAGCAUAGAAACCACUAUUCUUCACAGAUUUCUCAAUACAAAUACAGUCUUGCCCCUGGAAGAUAAUCCGAACGCAUAUUCAGUUCAAACUCAAGCAUCAAUUUUAUCUGGACCAAGGUGA
This 2496-nucleotide ribosomal RNA is filed under the name Triticum aestivum (bread wheat). RNAcentral's name for it is "partial small subunit ribosomal RNA". The record is from RNAcentral. Lineage: Eukaryota; Viridiplantae; Streptophyta; Magnoliopsida; Poales; Poaceae.